AGCGAACGCUGGCGGCAUGCUUAACACAUGCAAGUCGCACGGGCGGGGGCAACUCCGUCAGUGGCGGACGGGUGAGUAACGCGUAGGUAUCUAUCCUUGGGUGGGGGACAACCGUGGGAAACUACGGCUAAUACCGCAUGAUGUCUGAGGACCAAAGGCGCGAGUCGCCUGGGGAGGAGCCUGCGUACGAUUAGCUAGUUGGUGGGGUAAAGGCCUACCAAGGCUGUGAUCGUUAGCUGGUCUGAGAGGAUGAUCAGCCACAUUGGGACUGAGACAC
Molecule: ribosomal RNA, 277 nt
Filed under: uncultured bacterium
Lineage: Bacteria
Description: partial 16S ribosomal RNA
Rfam family: Bacterial small subunit ribosomal RNA
Source: RNAcentral